RNAcentral lists this ribosomal RNA (604 nucleotides) under Cladosporium sp. ASR-107. RNAcentral's name for it is "eukaryotic LSU rRNA". The record is from RNAcentral. Lineage: Eukaryota; Fungi; Ascomycota; Dothideomycetes; Cladosporiales; Cladosporiaceae.
CCCCAGGUGAACCUGAAGGAGGGAUCAGUGAACCAAGUAGACGCCCGGUACUAACUCACCGGAGAUGUUCAUAACCCUCUNNGCUUGUCCGACUCUGUUGCCUCCGGGGCGACCCCGUGCCUUCGGGCGGGGGCCUCCGGGAUGGACACCUUCAAAUCUCUUGUCGUAAACUGUUAGACAGUCUGAGUAAAACCUCUAAUUAUAUAAUACUUAAAACUUCUUAACCAAGCGGUAUUCUCUGUGGUUCUGGACAUGCGAGUGAAGAAGCGACAGCCGAAAUGGCGAUAAGUAAUGUGAAUGUGACAGAAUUCAGUGAAUACAUGCGAAUCUUGUGAAGCGACAACAUGUGGCGCCGCCCUGGUAUUUCCGGGGGGCACAUGCCUCUGUUCGCGAGCGUCAUUUCACCAUCUACAAGCCCUACGCUUGGUAUUGGNCUACGCGCGGUACCGCGCGCGUGCCUCUCAAAUGCGAUCCGGGCUUGGNUCGCUUCGCUGUCUCCCUAAGCGUUAGUGGAAACUAACUCUCGUUAAAAGGGUGUAUCGUGGAGGUACACGCCGUAUAAACCAACCCCAUUUCUAAGGAUGACCUCGGAUCAGGUAGGAUA